GAAGAUAAUAGCGGGGGAAUUCUUGUCGGCCUCUUCGAACGCUUUGCGCAGGUUGGAUUCAGACUCUCCGGCCAGUUUGGACAUGAUCUCGGGCCCGUUGAUCAGGAAGAAGAAAGCGCCUGAGGGGACGGGCACGGCGCGAUGGAGACCACGUCGGAAAGUCGCACGCGCAGGUUGUUGCGCACCACUCGGUUCAUGCGGAUCUUCUCGUCCGGACAGUUGUCGUCCGAGAGCACGAUACACACGGUCUCCUUGCGCCGCUUGCCCUUGAGCAGCACUGUGUCACCACGGAACAACUGCAGUUGCUCCAUUUUGGCCUGUGAUUGAUUUUUUUAUAUAAACGCUCUGUUUUCUCAUGCAUUUUCUCUUUUUUUUUACUUUUAAAGUGAUAAGAAACGUUUAGUCUAUUACUCAUUAAAGAUAUGUGCUGCCCAGAAUACAGCUGUAAUCACAGGAGCAUUGCCGGCCUAUCAUGAUAUCAUGAAUUUGGCACUCAUUUCUUUAUGGGAGAUUUGUAAUUAUUUAAAUACGGUUUGUAGAUGGUACCUUAUAAAUGACAGUUUGAGAUAAUUUUAUUCAAAAUGAGAAUUUAUUAUUGAAAUACCUAUGUUAAUUACCUAUUUUAAAUUCAAUCUAUUGUUAAAGAACUGAGAAUAUAAUUUUUCUUAAAAUCAA
Plodia interpunctella (Indianmeal moth) is the source of this 675-nucleotide long non-coding RNA. RefSeq lists it as uncharacterized. The transcript is spliced from 2 exons. The record is from RefSeq and is a predicted model, not a curated record. NCBI's taxonomy places the organism in Eukaryota, Metazoa, Arthropoda, Insecta, Lepidoptera, Pyralidae.